RNAcentral lists this ribosomal RNA (944 nucleotides) under Prorocentrum lima. RNAcentral's name for it is "partial large subunit ribosomal RNA". It matches the Rfam family "Eukaryotic large subunit ribosomal RNA", at positions 38 to 947 of the family's 3401-position model. The record is from RNAcentral. Lineage: Eukaryota; Dinophyceae; Prorocentrales; Prorocentraceae.
GCAUAUUAGUAGGCGGUGGAAGAUAAUCCAAAAGGGAUUCCUUCAGUAAUGGCGAAUGAACGGGGAAAAGCUCAGCAAAGAAAUCGAGGACUCCGGCCUUGAGUUGUGGACUUGAGAGGUAUCGCCAAUGGUGGCACAGGUGGGGGCCUCUUGGAAAAGGGCACCACAGAGGGUGUGAGUCCUGUUUGCCAUCUGUAGUCCGCUGUGUACGGCAUGCCUCCUCCGAGUCACGUUCCUUGGAAUUGGAGCGCGAAGGUGGUGGUGGCUUUCAUCUCAAGCUAAGUAUGGGUUCGAGACCGAUAGCAAACAAGUACCAUGAGGGAAAAUUGAAAAGAGCUUUGGAAAGAGAGUUAAAAGUGCCCGAACUUGCUGAUAGGGAAGCGAAGGGAGCUGACGUUGCUUGGUAACAUCUUCCGCGCAGGACUAGGAUGGGUUCUGAUUGCAAUGUGUGUUGUGUUUCUUGCCAUGCGUGUCAAUGCCAAGUAAUGAGUGGGGAGAGCUCCAGGGAUAAUGAUUGUUUCUGUCCCCGGGUAGACGAAUAUGUCUGGGUGCAUCCAUUUGUGGGCUGAAAAAUUGGUGGUUGGUUGCAGCUCCCUGCCUACGAGGCAAUUGGGGUGUAGCCCUGACACGCAGACGAGGACAAAGUGCUUCUGUUCGACCCGUCUUGAAACACGGACCAAGGAGUCUGACACUCAUGCAAGCUCGUUGGUGGGUAAACUUCUUUGCGUAAUUAAGGUGUCUGUUGUGAUUUGUGCACCAACGCCCGACCAAUCAAUUGAGAGAGGUUUGAGUGUGAGCAUUUCUGUCAGGACCCGAAAGAUGGUGAACUAUGCUUGAGAAGGGUAAAUUCAGGGGAAACUCUGAUUGAGGCUCGUAGCGAUACUGACGUGCAAAUCGUUCGUCAUACUUGGGUAUAGGGGCGAAAGACUAAUCGAACCAUCUAG